AUAUCUCCCCAGUCAGAAUUCCUAUUAUUGGCGUUCUCUUUUUGAUAUACAUAAUAUGAAAAAUGUGCAAUGCAGUUGAGACAUUUAGCUGAUCUCUCCUCUUGUAUAUAUCUGGACUGACGGCACAUCUUGUAGCUUAUUAUUUAACAUAUGCACAUUGUGAUUCUUUCCUCAAAUUCUUGUUUAAAAUUCUACUAGAUCUGUUGCA
RNAcentral lists this unclassified non-coding RNA (208 nucleotides) under Hevea brasiliensis (rubber tree). Lineage: Eukaryota; Viridiplantae; Streptophyta; Magnoliopsida; Malpighiales; Euphorbiaceae. The record is from RNAcentral.